RNAcentral lists this ribosomal RNA (253 nucleotides) under uncultured bacterium. RNAcentral's name for it is "partial 16S ribosomal RNA". It matches the Rfam family "Bacterial small subunit ribosomal RNA", at positions 524 to 776 of the family's 1533-position model. The record is from RNAcentral.
CACGUAGGGCGCAAGCGUUGUCCGGAAUUAUUGGGCGCAAAGAGCUCGUAGGCGGUCUGUUGCGUCCGCUGUGAAAACUCGGGGCUUAACCCCGAGCCUGCAGUGGAUACGGACAGACUAGAGGUAGGUAGGGGAGAAUGGAAUUCCCGGUGUAGCGGUGAAAUGCGCAGAUAUCGGGAGGAACACCGGUGGCGAAGGCGGUUCUCUGGGCCUUACCUGACGCUGAGGAGCGAAAGCGUGGGGAGCGAACAGG